GCCUUCAUGAUGGAAUUGGUAGACAUGAGGGAUUUAAACUCCCUUGGCUAUUGUAGCUGUGUGGGUUCAAAUCCCACUGGAGGUA
This 85-nucleotide transfer RNA is filed under the name Crassvirales sp. RNAcentral's name for it is "tRNA-Leu". It matches the Rfam family "tRNA". Rfam says of the family: Transfer RNA (tRNA) molecules are approximately 80 nucleotides in length. Their secondary structure includes four short double-helical elements and three loops (D, anti-codon, and T loops). Lineage: Duplodnaviria; Heunggongvirae; Uroviricota; Caudoviricetes; Crassvirales. The record is from RNAcentral.